UUGGGUGAUUAUAGCGUCAGGGCUCACCUCUUCCCAUUCCGAACAGAGAAGUUAAGCCUGACAGCGCCGAUGGUACUGCGAUAGCGGGAGAGUAGGUCGUCGCCACUU
Molecule: ribosomal RNA, 108 nt
Filed under: Ornithobacterium rhinotracheale
Lineage: Bacteria; Pseudomonadati; Bacteroidota; Flavobacteriia; Flavobacteriales; Weeksellaceae
Source: RNAcentral